AUGAGUGAACCAUGGUUAGUGUUUGGGGACUUUAAUGAAAUAUUAUUCACCCAUGAGAAGGAGGGAGGAGCAGUAAGAGAGCAAAGAUGUAUGCAAGCUUUUAGAGAUGCCAUGUCAGACUGUGAUCUUGAUGAUCUGGGAGCCAUGGGGGAUGCAUAUACAUGGAGCAGAGGGAGAAUUAAGGAAAGGUUGGAUAGAGCCAUCUGCAACUCAUGGUGGAAUCAGUUGUUCCCUAAUGUGGGUGUCACUAAUGGUGAGAUGACUAAAUCUGAUCACCGGCCGUUGGUAAUUAAUACUGAAUAUUACGCGGAGCAAAUCGAUACCACAGGGCAUCGAAGAGAUUUGAGGGGAGAUGGCUGA
This 360-nucleotide ribosomal RNA is filed under the name Triticum aestivum (bread wheat). Its description in RNAcentral is "partial small subunit ribosomal RNA". Lineage: Eukaryota; Viridiplantae; Streptophyta; Magnoliopsida; Poales; Poaceae. The record is from RNAcentral.